GAGACUUCGGUGUCUGGCUACAUCUACCACAAGCUGCUGGGCCACGAGGUGGAGGACGUAAUCAUCAAGUGCCAGCUGCCCAAGCGCUUCACGGCGCAGGGCCUCCCUGACCUCAACCACUCCCAGGUUUAUGCCGUGAAGACUGUGCUGCAAAGACCGCUGAGCCUGAUCCAGGGUCCGCCAGGCACGGGGAAGACGGUGACGUCGGCCACCAUCGUCUACCACCUGGCCCGGCAAGGCAACGGGUAGGGCUGACACAGCCCCUGCGGGCAAGACCUGGGAGGGCUUUAGGGUAGCCAGAUAGAAGGCCUGCUGCUGGGAGCCUCGGGCUCUGUCACACCGAAGAGAGCACGUGGCGGGUAGUGUCGCUAUGGUGCCUACCGCUCUCUAUGUGACAUUAUUCGUGUCAGCUCCAGCCUUGGGAUUGCAUUUUAGUAACCAGAUCUGCUACUGGUUUAGAAAACUGGGGGCAGGGGGGGCAUGGCUGCAGCAGCAUGAGUUCCAUGUGCGGCACUUGAUAGCAUGGCGGGAGGGUGCAAGUUCCAGCCUUGGCAUUGCUUGCAGUGGGUAGAGCUGUGAAGGCUGGGCUGUUUGGAUCUGAGCUCCUUCAGUAUCGUGUCAUUACUGCCUGUUAAAAAUGACAGGAGUUUAAGGCCAGCCUGAACAGGGUGAGACGUCUCUAC
This 683-nucleotide small RNA is filed under the name Pongo abelii (Sumatran orangutan). RNAcentral describes it as "retained intron". Lineage: Eukaryota; Metazoa; Chordata; Mammalia; Primates; Hominidae. The record is from RNAcentral.